Long non-coding RNA from Cervus elaphus (red deer), 2016 nucleotides. RefSeq lists it as uncharacterized. Lineage: Eukaryota; Metazoa; Chordata; Mammalia; Artiodactyla; Cervidae. The record is from RefSeq and is a predicted model, not a curated record. The transcript is spliced from 5 exons.
GCUCCAGGCCCCUCUCACACCUGGGGGCGGCGGGGAGAAAAACGCAGACAUUCUGCAACAAUGAGGCUUUGCCUGAAAUAACCCGCUGCCUUAUCUGAAAGCGGAGAUAAGAGGACCCAGAGCACAAAGGGAAAUGCACAGAUCACUUCUGGCUGCCUGAAGGAAAGCUGACUCACAUCUCAUCAUGUCUGUGGACAAGCAAGUAAUCACAGAAGGAGAAGGAGGAUCAAUCACAGUUCUGUCUGUCUCAGAAAGAGGGCUGCUGUUUCAAGCUCCCUGCCGGAAAACAGUAAAGACAGGAAAAGACUCCGGGAUGGUGGACCCCCCCACCCCCACCACAACCCCCCUGUGGGGCCCCUUCAAAGAAAACACACACUGUUCAAGCAAGACAAAGGCACUCAAUAAACUGGUAAGGUGCUCAGCAAUUUACUACAUGCGAGGCCUGGCUGACAUCACCCAUAAGAUCCAAGCUCUGCCCUCGGACAACUGAAAACACCCGAGCUGCCUGUUUCUCAGGACACAAGUUCUCAAGGUGACCCAUAAUCAUUUUGGUGGUUCUUUCCAGAAGGAAAGACAGGAAUGUCUACUGAUGGGUUGGGAGACUCAUUCGUCAGCAACAGGACAUGGUGGUGUGCUACACACAGGUUCCUGGGGAGAACAGGUUAUUUUGAGGGGUCUACACACAGGCCUGGAAGUAGUCACAGUUGACAAGGCAAUAGGACUGUGGACACAUUUGACUGAGCAACUACAAGAAAUUAAGAAAGAUGGGGAGAAACAGUCUACACCACAGAAAUAAGAGUGCUCAUGGCCUCUCCAACGUUCCCUUCAGGCAACGAGCUAGGGCAGAAGAACCCGGUUGCUGGCUCUGAAUACCUCUGUCCCGCCGACUUCCGGAUCACCAGAAGACAGCUGGCCACACGUCUGUCCUGUUCACGGCGGAGAUGUCGUCCACGAAACUCGGAAACCCUAACCACACCGCAGACCGGACCACGAUACCUAAGGGGCAACCAGGCUUUCCCUAGUUUCAGAGAGUCGGGGCUACUCUUCACUAUGGACUUCUCAUCGCCGUGGUGUCUCUUGUUGUGGAGUGCAGACUCUAGGUGGGUCGUGGGCUUCAGAAGUUGUGGACCUCCGUUUCUACAGCGGAGGCUCAGUAAUUGUGGCUCACAGAGACUCUGCAGUAUGCAGGAUCCUCCCGGACAAGGGAUCGAACCCGCGUCCCCUGCAUUGGCAGGUGGGUCCUUUUCCACUGGACCACCAGGGACGCCUUGGCAUCUGUGCUUGUUAUUUUUCAGCAAGGAGGUCCAGACACCUCCUGCCUUGCCCUGACUCCUGCUUCUGCUCAUUUGCCCACAGUGCCAUGUACCUUCCUUCGAAAGGCCAAAGGAUGUACCAAUCUUAUUUCCUGACCCCCAGAAGAUGUUUGGUUGCAACUCUAUUUCCAGAUAUUCAAGUUUCUGAAACUAUUAAGAUGCUUCCCCCAAAUGCUUCAGCAGAAUCAGGGAGAACACCGAUUUUUUUUUUUAAUUUAAUUAUCCGGUACCACAUUCGCUUGGUCGCUAACAGAAAGGGAAGUAUUCCUUCCUGUCUUACUCCAAUCUGAAAAAGUGACUAAGAGGUUCAAUAGCACGUGUCUGGAGUCCAGAUUCUUGAGCAUCUCCAAGCACAAAACAGCAAGAGGAGCAGGAGAGCCAGGCCCUGGGACACAUCCACCAGAUAUCUGGUCCAGGUGGCUAGAAGCUGCUCUUAAACCCUCAGGACACAGAGGUGGAAGGCACUCAAAUACCAUCAAGGCCUCUCCUUCAAGAGCAGAUGACUCCAACAUGGCCAGCACCUGUCAGCGCUCACAGAACACAGACGCUCUUUGGAUCCUGAUUUGAGCUAACUAACCGAAAACUGGCAUGUGUGACAUGCCUGAACAUGUAGCGGUGAUAUGAAGGAAUCGGUUUUCCUUAUUUUUUAGGCAGUAAUGAUAUCAGUGUGAUAUAUUUAUAUAUAUAAUUAUAUAUUAUAAAA